UACGUAGGGGGCAAGCGUUGUCCGGAAUCAUUGGGCGUAAAGCGCGUGUAGGCGGCCCGGAAAGUCUGAUGUGAAAACUUGGGGCUCAACCCUAAGCCUGCAUUGGAUACUGUCGGGCUUGAAUCUGGAAGAGGAGAGUGGAAUUCCUGGUGUAGCGGUGGAAUGCGCAGAUAUCAGGAGGAACACCAAUGGCGAAGGCAGCUCUCUGGUACAUGAUUGACGCUGAGACGCGAAAGCGUGGGUAGCAAACAGG
This 253-nucleotide ribosomal RNA is filed under the name uncultured bacterium. RNAcentral describes it as "partial 16S ribosomal RNA". It matches the Rfam family "Bacterial small subunit ribosomal RNA", at positions 524 to 776 of the family's 1533-position model. The record is from RNAcentral.